Molecule: long non-coding RNA, 364 nt
Organism: Labrus mixtus (cuckoo wrasse)
Lineage: Eukaryota; Metazoa; Chordata; Actinopteri; Labriformes; Labridae
Exons: 2
Source: RefSeq, a predicted model, not a curated record
AUACCGCGGCUUGAAACAGAAGUCUGAUGAGGGCUUGUGACUUUAAUGUGUAGCUUCUGGCAUUUCAAACACACAAUUUAGUCAGAAUUAAAUCAGAACUGAGUGGGUGAAGGAAAACGUAUGUGUGUACAUUUUAAAGAGAUACUUCAAACAUGAGCUUGUUACUUACCCCCAGGACUGACUGAGACGUGCCCUGGAGCUUCUUCAGAUGCUGGGACACAGAGCAGCACGCAGGGCUGUAACAAAGGCCUUUGAGGAUUUGGCAUAUUGGAGGUAAAACACUUUGGGGGUCCGAGGUCAAAGUGAGCACAGUGACCCCUUCAGCCUUGGUCAUGGUCACAGACAUCCUGCCAGCUCCGACAGA